This 659-nucleotide long non-coding RNA is filed under the name Pan troglodytes (chimpanzee). RNAcentral's name for it is "lincRNA". Lineage: Eukaryota; Metazoa; Chordata; Mammalia; Primates; Hominidae. The record is from RNAcentral.
CCAGGUAGAUGUGAAGCUUGGCAGUGCUUGGACAUAUACUUAACCAUACAGAGAAUAUCAGCCCAGCCUGUAGCAGGUAAACAAGAGCCCAGCACAGAAGAAAAGGCAGAGCUACAAGAAGACAGUGCCACAUUAUUUUCAUUGGAAUCUAUGUAUGCAUCUAUGCCUACAGAAGAGGUGAAGCAAAGUUGCUGACUUCAGCCUCAAGCCGAUAAGGAGGAAAAGAGCUCGGCAGUUUAAAGAUGCUCAAUGACUGUAGGAAGAAGAUACUGGAUUUUCAAAAUAGCAUUUGAUGAAAGCAAUUGCCAUGCAGUGAUGAGAACAGGUUUGGGAGGCUCAAGACCUGGUGUGACAUCCUGACUCCAAUUGGUUCAUAUGAGGAGACAAGGAGAAGAUGUCCAUCUGGAAACCUUCAGGAAAUGGAUCUUCACCAGACACCAGAUCUGCUGGUACUUUGUUCUGGACUUCUCAGUCUCCAGAACUGUGAGAAAUAAGUGUCUGUUGUUUAAGCCAUUCAAUCAAUAGCAUUUUGUCAUAGCAUCCUAAACUGUCUCCUGGUGUUUGUAUUGUUUCAACCUAAAGCCCUGAAUGAUAUGAAUGGUUAACCAUUUAUAAACCACUGAAGUUGACUCAGCACAUUAUCUUGUACAUGGUGGACC